CAACCCCUAAGUCAGAGGAAAAAGUACCUGAAUACGAGCAGCGGUGGCAUCCGGAUGGGAUUCAAGAAGCAUACCAAUGUUUGUCUUUCCUCAUUUGCCUCACAACCACCUCCCUCUUGUUUCUCAGCAAUUUUAUCCUCGCCACCAUGAUCUUCACCAUUGUCUGUGCAUACACACACAAAAAAAACUUGAUUUCUUUUAUCCAAGAAGAAGUAAAAUUGAGAAGGGAAUUGGAAAAUUCAGCAUUUAGAGGAAUUCAAAGUUCUGUAGAAAAGAGAAAGAUCUAUCUUCAUCGCCUUGAGAAGAGCGUGUGUGUGAAAGAAGAGAAGAGUGGUCUUUGUGAAGAAGAGCAAGGAGCGACAAACACACAAAGAGCCGUUAUUUUUU
This 387-nucleotide long non-coding RNA is filed under the name Solanum tuberosum (potato). RNAcentral's name for it is "long non-coding RNA (STUB_LNC002862)". The record is from RNAcentral. Lineage: Eukaryota; Viridiplantae; Streptophyta; Magnoliopsida; Solanales; Solanaceae.